GAUGAACGCUAGCGACAGGCUUAACACAUGCAAGUCGCGGGGCAGCAUGGGGGUUGCUUGCAACCCCUGAUGGCGACCGGCGCACGGGUGAGUAACGCGUAUCCAACCUGCCCUUCACCACGGGAUAACCCGGCGAAAGUCGGACUAAUACCGUAUGUUGUCCCUUGACGGCACCCGAUAUGGUCGAACGGCUUGGCGGUGAAAGGAUGGGGAUGCGUCUGAUUAGCUUGGGGGCGGGGUAACGGCCCACCGAGGCUACGGUCGGUAGGGGGUCGGAGAGGAAGGUCCCCCACACUGGAACUGAGACACGGACCACACUCCUACGGGAGGGAGCGGUGAGGAAUAUUGGGCAAUGAGCGUAAGCCUGAACCAGCCGAGUAGCGUGCAGGAGGACGGCCCUAGGGGUUGUAUACUGCUUUUAUGGGGGGGUAAAGUGGCCCACGUGUGGGCUUUUGCAGGUACCGAAUGAAUAAGGACCGGCUAAUUCCGUG
This 491-nucleotide ribosomal RNA is filed under the name uncultured bacterium. Its description in RNAcentral is "partial 16S ribosomal RNA". It matches the Rfam family "Bacterial small subunit ribosomal RNA", at positions 28 to 507 of the family's 1533-position model. The record is from RNAcentral.